GGUUGUGGCUCAGCGGUAGAGCACUCGCCUGGCACGUGCGGGGCCCUGGGUUCAGCCUCAGCACCA
Molecule: transfer RNA, 66 nt
Filed under: Marmota monax (woodchuck)
Lineage: Eukaryota; Metazoa; Chordata; Mammalia; Rodentia; Sciuridae
Description: tRNA.Ala
Source: RNAcentral